RNAcentral lists this ribosomal RNA (253 nucleotides) under uncultured bacterium. Its description in RNAcentral is "partial 16S ribosomal RNA". It matches the Rfam family "Bacterial small subunit ribosomal RNA", at positions 524 to 776 of the family's 1533-position model. The record is from RNAcentral.
UACGUAGGGAGCAAGCGUUGUCCGGAAUCAUUGGGCGUAAAGCGCGCGUAGGUGGCCACAUAAGUCCGUUGUGAAAGUCAAAGGCUCAACCUUUGAAAGCCGAUGGAUACUGUGUGACUAGAGUUCGGAAGAGGCGAGUGGAAUUCCCGGUGUAGCGGUGAAAUGCGCAGAUAUCGAGAGGAACACCUGCGGCGAAGGCGGGUUGCUGGGCUGAUACUGACGCUGAGGCGCGAAAGCCAGGGGAGCGAACGGG